Penaeus vannamei (Pacific white shrimp) is the source of this 491-nucleotide long non-coding RNA. RefSeq lists it as uncharacterized. The record is from RefSeq and is a predicted model, not a curated record. Lineage: Eukaryota; Metazoa; Arthropoda; Malacostraca; Decapoda; Penaeidae.
GGCAUAGUCUCACUCAGUCUUCCGACCGCCUUUCUGAGGGAGAGUCAUACACGACGAGUUUCCCUUUUUCCCGAAGUUUCUGUUUUAUUUGCAUAUUUUGGUGAAUAGAAUAGCAAUAUGAGAACGCUGGUUGUCAUUUUGCUUUUCGCUGGAUUGGUGCACUUUUCAACCAUGGCCAUGCCGUACCGAAGGAGUGAAUGUAAACCGUGCCUUCAAUGUGGACGUCACUUGCCAAGACACAGCGGCAUCUUCACUUGUCCAAAAUGUCAGAGGAACGCUGGCGGUAACAGCGAUGGUAGCGGCCGGGACGGUACGAAGGGCAUUGGAAGGUAGUGGGACCGUUGCAGGAGGCACCCCGGAUGUUGUUUGUGCAAUGCUUUUAUCGUCUUACAAAAGAAGAUGGUGAUAGUUAUGAUUCUGAUAUAAGAUUUUUUUUUUAAUAUCUGAUGAUGUUAUUGAUCUCCUGGACUAUAAAGAUUUGAGAGAAAGUU